CCUACGGGAGGCAGCAGUGAGGAAUAUUGGUCAAUGGCCGGAAGGCUGAACCAGCCAUGCCGCGUGAAGGUCAGUGCCCUAUGGGCGUUAAACUUCUUUUGUGCGGGAGCAAUAAUGGUCACGUGUGGCCAGACGAGAGUACCGUACGAAUAAGCAUCGGCGAACUCCGUGCCAGCAGCCGCGGUAAUACGGGGGAUGCGAGCGUUAUCCGGAUUUAUUGGGGUUAAAGGGUGCGUAGGCUGUGAGGUAAGUCAGCGGUGAAAUGCCGCCGCUCAACGGGGUGAAGUGCCAUUGAUACUGGCUUGCUGGAAUGCGGAUGCCGUGGGAGGAAUGUGUGGUGUAGCGGUGAAAUGCAUAGAUAUCACACAGAACACCGAUUGCGAAGGCAUCUCACGAAUCCGCGAUUGACGCUGAUGCACGAAAGCGUGGGUAUCAAACAGGAUUAGAUACCCCUGUAGUC
RNAcentral lists this ribosomal RNA (460 nucleotides) under uncultured bacterium. RNAcentral's name for it is "partial 16S ribosomal RNA". It matches the Rfam family "Bacterial small subunit ribosomal RNA", at positions 338 to 795 of the family's 1533-position model. The record is from RNAcentral.